This 1169-nucleotide long non-coding RNA is filed under the name Mus musculus (house mouse). Its description in RNAcentral is "predicted gene, 20125". The record is from RNAcentral. Lineage: Eukaryota; Metazoa; Chordata; Mammalia; Rodentia; Muridae.
UUGGUAGCUUAAGUGAUCAUUUCACUCAGUAAUUCGAGUGCCUGUUGAGAUGUGUGUACAAGCUCAGACAGUCUUCCUGGGCUGCGCCAGACUACUAAAAAGCCGAUGAAGCACAUUCUUUAUUCUGCUACAAAACAAAUGUGAAAAUGUCUUGAUGAAAGCUCAGCUGCUUUGCAAAUGUACAAUGAAGGCAAAUUUAACUGUCUGGGAUUGAACGAAGCCACAGUGAAAUGAUGAGAGUGGUUGCAGGAUUUUAGGAAUUUUUGUAUUUGGAUAAAUGAGAAGAUCAACCUGUCCUGUGUUCCCCGCGUGGCUACUGUGGGCUUUGAAGAAGUUAAUGUAGAGAAAGCCUGCUCUUAUGGUGUCUCGUUUUGUUAUCAAUGAAGACUGCAUCUGGACUAGGGAUGGAGGAUCAGCUAUUCCUCUGUAUCAGAUGGUGACUUCGUGUAGGAAUACUCUGCUGACCCUGGAGAAUGUUAUGUACACAGAGAUGGAUCAGUUCCCAAGGGAACCCAGGCCAGCAAUGAGAGUGGUGGCCUCAAAACCAUGGUACUCCUGCACAUGUUUGGCUGAGCUUCAGAUUGUUUUGUGAGUGUGCUGGCAGUGCAAGGGAGGAUGAUGGAGUUAUGAAAUGUAGAAUAUAUGGCCCAGGCCCAAUGGGGCAGCUGGGGUUAACUUUGGCUCAGCAGCUUGGCUCUGCCUUUAAUAUAUUGUCUUUCCUUAACUGCCUGGACUCAGCAUGUUGGGGGGAUGAUGCAAGGCAUUGUCCCAUUGCAUUGCAAAACUAUGGUGUAGACUCAAAAGAGCUCCUCUGACUAAACCUAGAACCUGUAACUCAUGUGAAGCUUCCUUGUCACCAGGCAUAUCAGCAUUUUCAGAAGAAAGAUUUCCAUUUUAGAGAAUCAAAGUGGCCAUUCACCACUGCUGAUUACUUUUAUCUUGUCUGUCAUACUUUCCUAGACUCCUGUCACACCAUUGCUAGGUUCUAGUGUCAACCACCUCAAAAUGGCACCUAUUAAUUUUUCCUGGUUAUAUAUACUGAGUGCCAGUACAAGUAUGAAGUGCUCUUAUAUCCUACCAUAUUGCCAUAAAAAAGUGUUGGUUUUAUGUUUCCAUUUGUAUUUUCCUGAUGACAAAGGUUGUUAGGUAUCCAUUAAAUAGUUAUUGAU